AUGGCAGCGGCGGCGACGCGCCAUCUUGUAGCGGGCCUGGCCCCGGCCAUUCAUUCGGCACGGGGACCCCGGGGACCCCGGCCAGGGCCCCCGCCCCCCGCCCCGCCGGCGCCGCACCGGGCGAGGGGGGACCGCAGCGGGCUGACCGCGGGGCCGCCUCCCACUUCUUGCUACAACCCCACAGCCGACCAUCCCCGCUCGGCCCUCCCCGCGCCGCUCUUUGUCCGCCUCAAGUCCACCCCGAGUGGCCGGCGGCGGCCGCGCCUCAGCUUCCUCAUUUCACGGGCCCUUCCUUCGCCCCGUGGCCACCAAGCACUAACUUCAAAGUCCCCAGAGGAGCUGUGUGGAAAGCACCGCGUCCCUCCGAGGCCAAGGGCGAGCCUUCAGCCCACCGCACGAGCCCGCCGCUCCCUUUGUUCUCGCGGCCCCGGCCCGGCCGCCCAGAGACCCCGGCCCUCGACUCUCGGGGCCCGGACCCCCGGACCCAGCACCCGGGACCGCGGGCCUGGGACCCAGACCCCAGAACUCGGACCCACAGACCCACACCCGGGACCCCAGCCCCCGGUCCCCCCGACCCUUGCGCCGGAGCCCGAGCUCCCGCCCCCGACCCCAGCCAAAGCCCGCAGGGCCCCCGCCCGCUCCCGGCCCGCGACCCCACCCGGGCGGGGCAGGAAGACGCUCGGCCCGGCCGCGGGGUGGGGGCGGGGAGGGUGGGGGCGGGGCGGCCCGGGCGGGCAACUGCGGGGGAGGGGCCCGGGCCCGGGUCGCGGGGACGGGCCGGGGCCACCGCGCUCACCUCGGUGCCUUGUCCCGCCUGACGCGCCCGCGCCCCGCCGCCUCAGCCGCCUCGGCCGCCGCUCUGGAGGUGGAAGCGCUCGGGCCGCUCCGCGGGCGCUGCGGGCAGGUGCGCCGGCGAAGCUCGCUCCGGUCCCGCGGCGGCUGCUCCACUCCCGCGCCCGCUCCCGCUCCCGCUCCCGCUCCGCCGCCGCCUCCGUCCGCCCCUCAGACGCCUCCAGCCAUCGGGAUGGGCGCGGCGGCCCCUGCCCGCAGCCUCGGGAAACCCCACGCCGCGUCACCGCGCACACCGCGCGCGCACGCAGGCCGGGCCGCGGCCCCGGCGCGCGCACGUCCGCGCUCUUCCUCUCUGCGCCGACCCCAGUAGCGUGUGCGAGCCGCUUAAAGGGGCCGCGCCCGCCCUCGGGGAACCCGCUCGCGGAGGCCCUCAGGCAGGGGCCGCCCCUUCCCGGGGCCCCAGGGGCAGAGAGCGAGGCUCUGUGCUACCUCGGGCCUUCCCACUGCAGUCCUGCUCAGCUUUCCAGCCAAGGGGACGUGGGUACAGGCCGCAGGAUCACAGCUGAAACUCUCCCGGCCCUGCACCCGCAUCUCGCGCACAUGCAAUGUACUCGCACCUGGCACUCUGCACCGUGCAUUCGGCACCCUACAUCUGCACCCUGCACCGUGCAUUCAGCACCCACAUCUGCGUUCUGCACGGCUACCCGCACGUGCACAUUCCCAACUCAGGCCGGCCCCCAGGCGUAA
This 1539-nucleotide long non-coding RNA is filed under the name Canis lupus familiaris (dog). RNAcentral describes it as "lncRNA (ENSCAFG00030001293.1, ENSCAFG00040004256.1)". Lineage: Eukaryota; Metazoa; Chordata; Mammalia; Carnivora; Canidae. The record is from RNAcentral.